RNAcentral lists this ribosomal RNA (253 nucleotides) under uncultured bacterium. Its description in RNAcentral is "partial 16S ribosomal RNA". It matches the Rfam family "Bacterial small subunit ribosomal RNA", at positions 524 to 776 of the family's 1533-position model. The record is from RNAcentral.
GACGUAGGGCGCGAGCGUUGUCCGGAUUUAUUGGGCGUAAAGAGCUCGUAGGCGGCUUGUCGCGUCGGCUGUGAAAUCCCGUGGCUCAACUGCGGGUCUGCAGCCGAUACGGGCAGGCUAGAGUUCGGUAGGGGAGACUGGAAUUCCUGGUGUAGCGGUGAAAUGCGCAGAUAUCAGGAGGAACACCGGUGGCGAAGGCGGGUCUCUGGGCAACAACUGACGCUGAGGAGCGAAAGCGUGGGGAGCGAACAGG